Long non-coding RNA from Callorhinchus milii (elephant shark), 278 nucleotides. RefSeq lists it as uncharacterized. The transcript has 2 exons. NCBI's taxonomy places the organism in Eukaryota, Metazoa, Chordata, Chondrichthyes, Chimaeriformes, Callorhinchidae. The record is from RefSeq and is a predicted model, not a curated record.
CUCUGAUCCCUGUCAUGUCUCUGUGUCUCUGAUCUCCAGGUUGGACAGUAACAGACUGACCGAUGGCUGCACUGAUGCUCUGGUCUCCGCUCUCAGUACAAACCGCUCACUGAGGAUCCUGGACCUGAGGUCUAACUCCUUCACAGACGGCUCUGUCUCCGCUCUCCGCCGCCUCAUACAGACCUGCACCAGUCUGGAGAGGAUCAGGCUGUGGGGGAAUGGGUUCAGUUCAGACGGAGAGAAUCAGCUGCGGUCACUGCGGGGAAUCAGAGCUGAGC